Molecule: long non-coding RNA, 736 nt
Organism: Daphnia magna
Lineage: Eukaryota; Metazoa; Arthropoda; Branchiopoda; Diplostraca; Daphniidae
Exons: 2
Source: RefSeq, a predicted model, not a curated record
AAAGAAUCAUCAAUUGAACAUGUUGAUAUUUUCGUGCACUUUUUUCAACCACAUUCCCACGAAGUCAACGACAGCAGACGACGCACACUGUUGCGACGUCAUCACUUCAAAAAUAACAACAUUUAUAUUAUUGAAAAAAAAUUAUUAAACAGAAUCAACAUCAACGUAUUUCUGAAAAUUACUUUUGACCACGUGACGAGAUCCAUCAUAUGGCAGCACUGCAACUUUCCUUAAGAACAAAGCAAACAACAAAGGAAAAUCAACAAGGCAAUAAAAGAUUCCACAUGUUUAUUCGAAUUCCAGAUUUUUUUAUUCAAACUGCCAAAAGUGUGAACACGCACAUAAUGAAAUUAAAACCAUCGGCUAAUACGGUUACACUUGCUCCCCAGAAAUAGUACCUAAUAUAACCAUGGCUGAAUAAAGGAGGUGGUUAGCUAUAUAAUAAUUUUUGAUGGGAGGCAAUUCGCAAUUCACUGUUGCUUCUUGCGCUUCUUUUUUUUUUUUUUUCUUUUCGUUUUAUUUCAUAUUCAUAUAGAAUUAUUGAAGAUGGCGCACUGCGCUCCCGAUGGAAGGUAUAUUUACAAUACAUAUCCAAACGGGAUAUUCUAUAGUUGUAACACAAAAUCUGUUUCCUCUUACCUCUUCCUCACUUUACUCCCCUUAAAUUAACUGUGGGAGUUCCAGUAUGUAUAACAACGGUUUCGUUAAAUGGAUAUUUUCCCUUUCACCUUUUGAA